Molecule: ribosomal RNA, 414 nt
Filed under: Crangonyx islandicus
Lineage: Eukaryota; Metazoa; Arthropoda; Malacostraca; Amphipoda; Crangonyctidae
Description: partial 16S ribosomal RNA
Source: RNAcentral
UAGCAUAAUCACUUGUGUUUUAAUUGAAUGCUGGCAUGAAAGAUUUAACCCUAAGCUUCUUUUUUAAUGAAAAGAGUAUAAUUUGCGGUUUAAGUAAAAAUUCUUAGAUAAAUCAGAGGGACGAUAAGACCCUAAAAGCUUAAGCUUUAUUUAGUUUUUUUAGUUCUAUUAGGUUAAGGUUAAUGUGUAAGGAUUUACUGGGGAAGUGGCAUUAAAUAAAUUAAUGUUUUAGUUUACUUUAAGGUUUAAAGAGCCUUAAAAUUAGGAUUAGUUGAAAAAGUUACUUUAGGGAUAACAGCAUAAUAGGUUCAGAGAGAUCUUAUUGAUGAAGUUGAUUGUGACCUCGAUGUUGAAUUAGAAGUGCGUAAAGAGGUAAAAGGUUUUAUAGCGGGUUUGUUCAACCUUUAAUUUUCU